This 481-nucleotide ribosomal RNA is filed under the name Ceratitis capitata (Mediterranean fruit fly). RNAcentral's name for it is "16s rRNA". It matches the Rfam family "Bacterial large subunit ribosomal RNA", at positions 1858 to 2592 of the family's 2925-position model. The record is from RNAcentral. Lineage: Eukaryota; Metazoa; Arthropoda; Insecta; Diptera; Tephritidae.
CCUGCCCACUAAAUAAUUUUUAAAUGGCCGCAGUAUCCUAACUGUGCAAAGGUAGCAUAAUCAUUAGUCUUUUAAUUGAAGGCUGGUAUGAACGGUUGGACGAAKAUAAGCUGUUUCAUAUAAAAUUAUUUUAGAAUUUUAUAUUUUAGUUAAAAAGCUAAAAUUUUAUUAAAAGACGAGAAGACCCUAUAAAUCUUUAUAUUUAUAAUUAUUCAAGUUUUUUGGAAUAAUUUUAUUUUUAUAAUUGUAAAUAUUUUGUUGGGGUGAUGUUAAAAUUUAAUGAACUUUUAAUUAUUUAUUAAAUCAUUAAUUUAUGAAUAAUUGAUCCAUUAUUAGUGAUUAUAAGAUUAAGUUACUUUAGGGAUAACAGCGUAAUUUUUUUUGAGAGUUCAUAUCGACAAAAAAGUUUGCGACCUCGAUGUUGGAUUAAGAUAGAUAUUUAGGUGUAGCCGCUUAAACAUAAAUCUGUUCGACUUUUAAA